UAUAAUAUUAUUUCUAUAUGCGUUUCAAUAAUUUUAAAAUCUGAUUAUAAUAAUUGUUUGUUUAAUCGAAAAAGGAGAUUUUCGCGCGUAGAAAGUUAUACCGCAUGGAAAGACGGUUGUUUCGCUUCUUGACCAAGUGUUACGCGUGCUUACAUAGAAUAUGAAAUGUAAUUGCAACACUAGAAAUAUCCUGUUUCUGCUAAUGGUGUAUUCUAUAUAAUUGUUUCAUAUUUUUCGAUGAAAUUCACCGAUUAAUAAUUCGAUCGAUGAUGUCACAUUUAAUGGAACGCUAAUUACUAUAAUUAACGUAUUGACAUAACCUAAUUAAAACUCAUUGUUAAAAUUAUUGUUGACUUGAAUAUAUUUUUAUCGAACUCUCCCGUGAACAGUUGAACGAGUAUAAUAAAAUAACAUUUAACGAAAAUUUUAUAUAUAAUACUAUCAAAGUUUAUAUGAAUGUUAGAAUGUUACGUGGUCAUAUAAAAUUCUAUUUUCCCUCCUAUUAAAAACCAGUUUAUAAAUCGCUCGACACUGUUUACAUGGACGCCCUUGAGUGUUGCUUUUUCUUCAUGUUCUCUCUGGUGAGCAAGGUCUACAGUAAAACUAUAAUGUUUAAGAAGAAACGCUUACCAGCCUUAUUAACAUCCCAGAUGACAACUAUGGCACCGAGAUUGGCUAACCUAAGGGCGGUUAACCUUCCUAAACCACCACCACCUCCAGUCACUAGAGUGAUUUCUCCAGCGAUGCUCUUCAUUUUAUAUUUCAACGGGAUGAAUAAUUUAAUGAUACUUUCAAUGCUAAAGAUCACUGUCCAAAAAAGGAAAACUAUCACAGUCUUGACAAUUACAAAGAACGACAUAUUUGUUGCGUUUUUCUUGAUCAAAUUUUUAUAUUUGUUCCAACUUUAUUUGAACGUUUUAUCGCUACACUGCGACUCUUCUGUAAAAUUGAGGUCGAUCAGGAUGGCAUAGCUCGACCUAUGUAUCAAUUAAGGCUUAUGGACGGAUGAGGUUUGUCUGAAAAACAUAAUUAUAAUCAAUGUCACUUUAAAUGCGAUCGUGUAAAAGGAUAUUAAUUAAUUUUUUAUGAUUUUAUAUAUAUAUAUAUAUUGUAUUAAUUUUGUAUGUAUCUAUGUAAUUAUAAUAUUAAUUAAUUUAGAAAUUAAAGAUAAAUUUUAAAUUUAUCAGUAAUUUGUAUAUAACUAAUUUAAAUUUAAUAGUAACCAGUAUAAAACGAUAACAUCAGUAUAUAUAUAUAUAUAUAUAUAUAUAUAUAUAUAUAUAUAUAUAUAGAAACUAUUAUACACUUUCUCCAAAAUUUCGUAUUACUUUCCUCUUAUUCUCUCAAGAAAGAGGAUUCUCCGGAUAUGAGGAUAAUCACGUAAGAAUUAAAAAAUUUAACAAAAAGAAUUCAAAAUAUUCACUGUUUAAAAUUUUAAAAAUUGAUAGGUUUUAUCAUUCUACUUAUAACAAUUCUUUUAUCUUCAAUUAUAGAAAUAAAAAUAAGUUAAUCUAAGAUCAUGAAUUCAAUACUUUUUGAAAUAUUUAUAAUUGUAAUUUUGUUAUUAAAGUUAUAAUUGAAAUUUUAAAGUCGUAAUUAAUUUGAAGCGUUUAUAAAGAAAAUGAAAAAGAUAAAAUUUAUCAAUGUUCAAGGUCUGAAUGAAAUCAUUUGACUCGAAGAUCUUGCUCCCCUUGUAAGAUGUUAUCCGAAUCUCGUUGCUCGAAAAUAAACGAAAAUAACAGUCCUUCACUCCUCGAAUAAAAUUUCAAAAUAAAAAUUCUUUUUAUAUUCUUGUUAUAUUAUAUAUCUUGUACCACGAAAUUUACGAUCUUCCAGUAAUUUACGUUAGGGCAAAUAUCCAAUAUCGAUUCACUUUCUAAUGAAACGCGAAUUCACUUUCGAUUUUUAUCCACAUAUAUUCCAGUCACACGAAGCUCGUAAUUUUUCGAUUACUUAAACGAUUGUGAAUAAAACGAUUUUUAUGAAUAGAAUGAAAACGAAGAUUGAAUUAUAAUUACAGAAUGUUACAGAAGAAAGAUUGAUUUUUUUUUUUUUUUUUAUUAAAAAUACUAGUUUAACCCUACUUUAGAGAUUUCGUUCGAUGAAUAUUAUUGAAAUAUGCAUUGAAACGAACGUAUAUAUGUAUAUAUUCAAUCUUUCUUGUUAAAAAAUAUGAUGAAAGGACAAAAAAUAAAUCAUACAUAAUAAAAAAAACAAUAUCGUAAUAAAAUUUUUCCCUCGUGUCUCGAGAUAAUAGAUAAGACAAUGUUUCACGGAAAAACAAUUUCUUUUCAUUAGCAUAAUAUUCUGUUUUGUAUAAUUAUUAUUGUCAAACGAAUGAUUUCAAUUAACGGUGAAUUUCCGUGUCACGUUUCGUGUUCCAAAGAAUAUAAUCGAGCACCAACGAGCAACAGCCAGUUAUAUAUAGCAAUCAUGGCAAAAUGUCGCGUGACACAUAGCGCGAAGCUUUUUGUGUCAAUUUAAUUUACUUGAUUCUAAUAUCGAAUUCAUUCGAUUCUAAUAUUUAAGCUGAGCAAUGUUUCCAUAAAUAUAUGAAGCAAAAUUUAUUUUUUUUCUUUCAAUAAUAUAAUCAAAGAGAAAUAUUAAAUUAGAUCAGAGCUAGAUAAACAUAUAACUUGAUAUCACAUAAUUAAAUAAGACAGUUCUCAUUGAUCGAAAUCAUAUUAGUAGAGAUUAAUAAUAUUUCCUUAAAGAAUUGAUCGAAACUCGACUCGAGAAAUUAGAAGGCCACUUUCAAAACUGUUCGCUCGCGGCGAACUAUUGAGCAUCGUUACGAAUUCAAUUUGCGGUAGUUAUAAGUCUUCCUCGUUGCUCUGCUUUUAUAUAGGGAUCGUAUCAUAAAAUCCUUCGAUUCUUCAAUGAAAUAUAGAUAAGAACGAAAAGAUAUAAUUCUAGACUUGAAUAAAUAUUUUUCCAAAUAUAUUUUAAGAAAUAUAUAUAUAUAUAUAUAUAUAUAUAUGUAUAUAUUGUAUAUGAUGAAUUUAAAUAUAAGAUAAAAAGGGAUCUUACUACACAAUGUAAAUCCCUUCUGUACGUUUUCGUUGCAAACCACUCGCACUUUUCGAAAGAAAGCGAAGAAUAAAAAUAAAACGAGGAAAGAACCAAUGAGGUGCACGAAAAUACCUAUGCGAAACUUGUCUACGGAACGAAAGAUACUCGUCUUACCGGCACUACGGUCGUUGGUGAACUGAAUAAAACGGCGGCUCUGGUACGCCUUUACUCUCUCGACGAUCUCCGGCAACAAACUAUGCGCAUCAUACGAGAUAUACGAGCAACGAACAUUAAUAUAAACGUGAUAAUUGCACGUGUAUCAUCUAUUUAAUGCGUAUCAUCUUUCUUCUUUUUGAUUAUAGAAAUUAAAACUGAAAUCAAAAAGUAAUAAUAUAAUAUAAAAAUAUAAUGAAAAUAGUUUUUCAAAAAGGUCUCAAAUUAAUUUUGAUAGACUCGAUGUGAUUCAAUAUAUAAUGAAAAUAAGUUAUAUACUUAUGUAUUAUAUAAAUACUUGUAGUUUUAUUUUAAUAUUUCUAUUAUAUAAUUAAUUCCGUUGAAUUAUCUUUUUUAUCUUUCAAAUCAUUCUUUCAAAUCAUUUUAUUGUUAUGACGAUAACCAAUACAUCUUACGAAAAGAAAUAAUAUUUAUAAAUCACAUAAUAUAAUUUAUAAAGAUUUAAACAUUAAAUAAGAAAUAAAGAUAUUAAUAAUGAUACUAAUAUUUAUUUAUUGCGCUUUAUUAAUGUCGUUCGUGCAAUUUACAAACUGGAACACCGGCACAUCUACACAAAACGCCUGUUGAUCCAUCGGUGCAUUUCCUUCGACUAGGGCGUCGCAACAGCGAGAGUCGAACGAAGGAGAGAGUAGCCUCUCGAACGGAAUAUUGAUAGGCAAAUGAAAUUUUCGUGAAUUAUUCUUGAUUUACUUAAACGAUAUUUGUUAAUAUAUAUGUAAUAUUGAUGACAAUCAAAUUGAAUCCAGAAAUAGAUUUUUCAGUCAAAGAAAUGAAAUCUAGAGAAAUUAAUUAAAAAAAGAUUAAUGUGUAUUUUACUAAUUUUAGUUUAAAUGUUAAAAAAUUAUAACUGCCUAUUUAAGAUAUUAAUAAUAAAUUAAAUAAAAUAAAUUAAUUUAAUAA
Molecule: long non-coding RNA, 4146 nt
Organism: Apis cerana (Asiatic honeybee)
Lineage: Eukaryota; Metazoa; Arthropoda; Insecta; Hymenoptera; Apidae
Source: RefSeq, a predicted model, not a curated record